This 363-nucleotide unclassified non-coding RNA is filed under the name uncultured fungus. RNAcentral's name for it is "sequence contains ITS1". The stretch from base 1 to 101 matches the Rfam family "5.8S ribosomal RNA", at positions 50 to 154 of the family's 154-position model. The record is from RNAcentral. Lineage: Eukaryota; Fungi.
GAAAUGCGAUACGCAAUGCGAAUUGCAGAAUUCCGCGAGUCAUCAGAUCUUUGAACGCAAUUGGCGCUGGUUUAACCGCCAGCAUGUUUGUUUCAGUGUGUUAGGAAUCACAUAUCUCAAUGCGAUUGAGGGACCUCCGCCCCCCCCUUUAUUGGGGGGUCGGGAGCCCUUCUCUCGUUAAACACGGAGGUGUCGAGCUUUAGCGCGACCGAACGAAGUAGUCACUUCUUGAAAGUGAUCUCGUUCGCUGUUGGCGGGGCUCACUAAGACGCUUCAUAACAAUUUCAUCAAGAAGGAGUUUACUCUUCUUCUUCUUUUUUCCCACAACACCUGAAAUCAAGCAAGAUCACCCGCUGAACUUAA